RNAcentral lists this ribosomal RNA (495 nucleotides) under uncultured eukaryote. Its description in RNAcentral is "bacterial SSU rRNA". It matches the Rfam family "Eukaryotic small subunit ribosomal RNA", at positions 13 to 488 of the family's 1831-position model. The record is from RNAcentral.
CCUGACGGUAGUCGUAUGCUCGUCUCCGAGACUAAGCCAUGCAAGUCCAAGUACACGUCCUUGAACGACGGAAACUGCGAACGGCUCAUUAAAUCAGUUGCGAUCUACUCGGCGUUCCGCGCCGCCGGAUAACCGUAGUAAUUCUAGGGCUAAUACGUGCGAAGCGCCCGAAGCCGCGAGGCGACGGGCGUUCUCGCCGGAUGUAGGAACCGACCCGGGGACCGCCGGGGCAACCCGGCGCCCCCGAGACGGGGCGAACCACGGUGAAAUGACGGAUCGUCGGCCCCGCGCCGGCGACUCGCCGAAUGAGUUUCUGACCUAUCAACUCGAGACGGCGGGGUAGAGGCCCGCCGCGGUAACGACGGGUAACGGGGAAUCAGGGUUCGAUUCCGGAGAGGGAGCCCGAGAACGGCUACCACUUCCAAGGAAGGCAGCAGGCGCGCAACUUACCCUAAUCUCGAUUCGAGGAGGUAGUGACAAGAAAUACCGAUGCGG